UUUAAAAUGAGAGUUUGAUCCUGGCUCAGGACGAACGCUGGCGGCGUGCCUAAUACAUGCAAGUCGAACGAAACUUUCUUACACCGAAUGCUUGCAUUCACCGUAAGAAGUUGAGUGGCGGACGGGUGAGUAACACGUGGGUAACCUGCCUAAAAGAAGGGGAUAACACUUGGAAACAGGUGCUAAUACCGUAUAUCUCUAAGGAUCGCAUGAUCCUUAGAUGAAAGAUGGUUCUGCUAUCGCUUUUAGAUGGACCCGCGGCGUAUUAACUAGUUGGUGGGGUAACGGCCUACCAAGGUGAUGAUACGUAGCCGAACUGAGAGGUUGAUCGGCCACAUUGGGA
RNAcentral lists this ribosomal RNA (343 nucleotides) under Ligilactobacillus salivarius. RNAcentral's name for it is "bacterial SSU rRNA". It matches the Rfam family "Bacterial small subunit ribosomal RNA", at positions 1 to 318 of the family's 1533-position model. Lineage: Bacteria; Bacillati; Bacillota; Bacilli; Lactobacillales; Lactobacillaceae. The record is from RNAcentral.